GUUUUGACAGUAAGUACUUUUUGAGGGGAUUUUGUCUCGCCGAGAGCUCUGCACUGCCAAUCGUGUGGCGGCUCAGGUCUUUGCUGAAGCUGUCAGUCUUCCUCUCAAGACGUGUGGCCACUUCAACUACACGGGCCGCAGAGAGGUUCAGCCCAUACUUCACACCUCCAUGCCGUCUCACACACCUUCGCCUUAAAAAAAAGAAUAAACAGUUGCAGCCUGGAUCAAAUAAGGCCGAGUGGCUGCUUGUGGGGAAAGGGGGCGCCUCUGUUUUAAGGUCGAAGGUGGCUGCUCCGAGCGGAACAGGACACACUGCGGGCGCAUGUUUCCUUGAACGUGGCCGUAUCGCAGUCAAGCGGGUCAGGAGUGUGCUGAAAGCACUUUUGCCAAUUCAGCGGCCACAAGAGGCCCACCCGGGCGCAGGGUAGGACCAAAAGAAAAGUCCCGAGCAAGUCAAACCUUUAAGUGGAG
This is a long non-coding RNA of Gasterosteus aculeatus aculeatus (three-spined stickleback), 471 nucleotides long. The record is from Ensembl. NCBI's taxonomy places the organism in Eukaryota, Metazoa, Chordata, Actinopteri, Perciformes, Gasterosteidae.